This is a small nuclear RNA of Xyrauchen texanus (razorback sucker), 130 nucleotides long. RefSeq annotates it as U4atac minor spliceosomal RNA. NCBI's taxonomy places the organism in Eukaryota, Metazoa, Chordata, Actinopteri, Cypriniformes, Catostomidae. The record is from RefSeq and is a predicted model, not a curated record. The transcript has a single exon.
CCUUUCCUUGUCAUGGGGUCGAAAAACUGCUUAAUGAACAUAUAAUGAGAACAGGCCUGCUAACACCAUACCUAACAUAAUCGCAUCACCUGACUUCUUGAAGUCAGACAAUGAUGCAAUUUUUAGAAAC